AAAAUGCGAUACGUAAUGCGAAUUGCAGAAUUCAGUGAAUCAUCAAAUCUUUGAACGCAAAUUGCGCUCUCGGGAUAGGCCUGGGAGCACGCCUCUUUGAGUAUCGACUCCAACACAACUCGAAAGCGUGCUUUUUGAUUUUAUCUCAAAGCUGCUUUCGGAAACUGAGUGUUCUCACGAAAGUGAGAUGCUUUAAAACGAGCGAGUGAAUUGGAGUCUGUCUGUUAGCAGACAUUGUCUCCGGUGACGAGGAUAACUUCACAUUCAGUUGUGAACCCUUCCAUCGUGACUGUCGAGCAGUGUUUCUUACAGAAAAGCCUCUGUGUAUUCACGGAUCUCUUUGUCUCGCUUGCGAAUCAAUGCAGGCGAACAGAGAACUUCUUUGAAUUAGAUCUCAAAU
This 400-nucleotide unclassified non-coding RNA is filed under the name uncultured fungus. RNAcentral describes it as "sequence contains ITS1". The stretch from base 1 to 106 matches the Rfam family "5.8S ribosomal RNA", at positions 50 to 154 of the family's 154-position model. The record is from RNAcentral. Lineage: Eukaryota; Fungi.